CCAGUGUGUGACAGCUGGGUGACAAGAGUGAUGACAACAGGCAGUGUUGGCUGCAAUAACUGUGCUAACUGGUGACAACCAGGCAGGUGUGACAAAGGGUGUGGUAACUGUGACAACAGGCUGUGACAACUGGGCAUUUCCUCUGCACAGAACCGGUCAGCUCACUGUGGAUUUACAGCAUUUCCAGGCUUCCACUAGGGUGGCAGGGACCCUCUCCACCCACACACCAAGGAUCCUGAGCUUUGCUCAGGGGUCAGCGAAUGUCCCUGACAUCUCCCAGUUAAGUCCACGAUCACAUCUUCAUAGAAGCAACUUAACACUCACAAGAGAGCAAAUGACACAUGCUCCCAUCCGCAUGUGUUAGUACCCUUGUCAUUCAAUUUGAAACAAGCCCAUCAUCUAUUUCUUGAAGAAAAACAAUGAGUGAGAAUAAUGCAAAUGUCUCAUUCCCACUCUAUCUCCAUUCAUAAAACUAACUCUGAGAGAAUUUUAAUUAGUAAUCUGCAGUGCCACAGGAGAGGAAAAGAAGAGGAUAGCCAUCCCAGGGCAGAGGAAGGAGGAGAUGUACCAACCUGCCAAACCCCAAGGGAGCCAGAUGAGCAGCCCUGGGAGAAGACGCCUGCAGUGGACAAGAACGCAGCCCACAGCCCAGCAACAACAGCAACCCUAAAGGCUGAGGCCUUCUACAGGUGGUGGCAACAAUGAAGGAGUCCCUGCGGAAGGUUCUACACACAUACG
This 738-nucleotide long non-coding RNA is filed under the name Chinchilla lanigera (long-tailed chinchilla). RNAcentral describes it as "lncRNA (ENSCLAG00000027041.1)". Lineage: Eukaryota; Metazoa; Chordata; Mammalia; Rodentia; Chinchillidae. The record is from RNAcentral.